UUCCGUAGGUGAACCUGCGGAAGGAUCAUUAUUAAAAGUAAAAUGAGUGCACUUUAUUGUGGCUCAAACCUCUUUUAAAUCUUUAACCCUUUUUAAACCCAAAGCUGUCUUGUGUGCUUCAUUUUUUUGAAGUAUAGCAUUUCAGUAGUACGCAAUCACGGACUUUAUUGUUCAUGUUGCAUUACCCCCCCUUAUAAGUGACCCCUUAUUUUUUGAAAUCAUUAACAUUAAAAAGUUUUAAGAAUGUAAACCCCCCUUAAAUUAAUAUAUAUAACUUUUAACAAUGGAUCUCUUGGCUCUCACAUCGAUGAAGAACACAGUGAAAUGUGAUAAGUAAUGUGAAUUGCAGAAUUCAGUGAAUCAUCGAAUCUUUGAACGCACCUUGCACCUUUUGGUAUUCCAAAAGGUACACCUGUUUGAGUGUCAUGAAACCCUCUCAUUCCAAUUCUUCAUUAACUUGAAGAUGUUGGUAAUGGAUGUUGAGUGCUGCUGUGUUAAACAGCUCACUUUAAAUAUAUAAGUACAUUUGUUGAUAAAUAAAUGGAGAAAUACUUGGUGUGAUAAUUAUCAUUCAUCGAGGAAUGUUGAUGUAGUAAUACUUUGACAGCCAUUUGAGUUUCAGUAAAUAGCUUCCUAACCAUAUAUAAUCAUUUGAACUUUAGACCUCAAAUCAGGUGGGAUUACCCGCUGAACUUAAGCAUAUCAAUAAGCGGAGG
This 716-nucleotide ribosomal RNA is filed under the name Thekopsora sp. TY-2013b. RNAcentral's name for it is "eukaryotic LSU rRNA". The stretch from base 273 to 426 matches the Rfam family "5.8S ribosomal RNA". Lineage: Eukaryota; Fungi; Basidiomycota; Pucciniomycetes; Pucciniales; Coleosporiaceae. The record is from RNAcentral.